UCAGUUCGGAUUGCAGGCUGCAACCCGCCUGCAUGAAGUCGGAAUCGCUAGUAAUCGCGGGUCAGCAUACCGCGGUGAAUACGUUCCCGGGCCUUGUACACACCGCCCGUCACACCACGAAAGUUGGUAACACCCGAAGCCGGUGGCCUAACCCUUAGGGGAGGGAGCUGUCGAAGGUGGGACUGAUGAUUGGGGUGAAGUCGUAACAAGGUAUC
Molecule: ribosomal RNA, 215 nt
Filed under: uncultured bacterium
Lineage: Bacteria
Description: partial 16S ribosomal RNA
Rfam family: Bacterial small subunit ribosomal RNA
Source: RNAcentral